This 474-nucleotide ribosomal RNA is filed under the name Microsomacanthus passeris. RNAcentral's name for it is "SSU rRNA". It matches the Rfam family "Eukaryotic small subunit ribosomal RNA", at positions 787 to 1255 of the family's 1831-position model. The record is from RNAcentral. Lineage: Eukaryota; Metazoa; Platyhelminthes; Cestoda; Cyclophyllidea; Hymenolepididae.
GAUGUUGCCUGAAAAGUUUUGCAUGGAAUAAUGGAAUAGGACUUCGGUUCUAUUUCGUUGGUUUUCGGAUCCGAAGUAAUGAUCAAAAGAGACAGGCGGGGACGUUUGUAUGGCUGCGCUAGAGGUGAAAUUCAUGGACCGUAGCCAGACAAACUAAAGCGAAAGCAUUCGUCAAGCAUGUUUUCAUUGGCCAUGAGCGAAAGUCAGAGGCUCGAAGACGAUCAGAUACCGUCCUAGUUCUGACCAUAAACGAUGCCAACUGACGAUCCGUGGCGGUAGUUUACAAACCUUCCCCACGGGCAGUCCCCGGGAAACCUUUAAGUGUUUGGGUUCCGGGGGAAGUAUGGUUGCAAAGCUGAAACUUAAAGGAAUUGACGGAAGGGCACCACCAGGAGUGGAGCCUGCGGCUUAAUUUGACUCAACACGGGAAAACUCACCCGGGCCGGACACUAUGAGGAUUGACAGAUUGAUAGC